UUCAGUCAAGCACUGGUUAUCAAGCACUCAAGCACUGGUUAUCUUUUGACAUUAAGAUUAUUAUUAUUUCUUUAAAAACCCCAAAAGUGGUGCAUCAGACUAUUUGAAGCAGAGAUGGGUACCUUGCAGUGCUUUUGGAUGCUGUUAUGUUUUUGCAUUCCUGCUUUACACACUACACUCUCGUUCAUCAUGACUCAGUCACCGGGGUUCACAUCCAUCUCAGUUGGUGACCCCAAUGAAUUAAGAUGUGUAUUUGACCAGACAGUUAUGUACUGCUAUAACACAGCUACUUUGUACAAGGUGAAUCUCAACACAUUCUUAUGAUGUGUUACAUUCAUACGAGCAGACAGAAAAGUACGUUUGAAGUAAGUUUGGAGCAGAAGAAAUAGAAAUAAACCUUGUGUAAAUUGUCAGCUUUACGCUAAGCUAAAAUGCUAUUUCUAGCCAUUUUACAUGCAUGUUACCAGGAACGAUCAUAUUUUUUUAUUAAGAAAAUUCACGUUGGAUCAUAAUUUCUUUUUUUCUAAUAAGACCUUUGAUAUUAGAGCACAAACCAUAUUCUUGAUAUUAAUUUUUGUAUUGUUUUCCUGUAAAAAAUAUCUAAUAAUCCUUAAAACAAGAUCAAUUUGAUUUAUCUUGUUUUAGAAACAACACUGCAUAAGAUGUUUUGGUUUUUCAGAGAAUGUAUUUUUAACAUGUGUAUUUUGUCUUACUGUACUGGCAGAGUUUUUAUAGUCAGAACAAGUGAAAAAAUCUACCAGUGCUGAAGAAGUAAUCCAAAGUAUUUAGAAUACGUUACUGACCUUGUGUAAUCUAACACAAUACGUUACAAAUUACAUUUUACAGUAUGUAUUCUGUAAUCUGUAGUGGAAUACAUUUCAAAAGUAACCCUUCCAACCCUGAUCUCAAGACAGGUGAAAUCAUGCCUUCAAGGUUUAGCAAGUCUAAGAGUAAACCUUGACCCAAUGAUAAAACUUGCAUUUUAACUAUAAAGAGGCAACUCUGAAAGAUUCGGGCUUAUACUAUUGCAUUAGCCAACAAUGGCAACAAUGGCAAUGGAACCAAUGUGAUCGUUACAGGUAAAUUUGAAGUGGCAUUUUAUCAAUACUUUUUCUCAUGGUUAGGGUUAUAUACCAAAAUGUAUAAAAUUUUCACUCGAUGAAGUAACUCUGUUACUCUUUUGUGAAUUUUCCUCGGUUUAUAGAUCAAAUAUCUAUCCCACCAGAGCUAUCCAUCCUAUACUCACCACAAGAAACUUACAUAUCACCCAUCCCACUGCAGUGUGUUGUGACCGGAGUUGUCCCAUCUCAGGUCCGGGUGUUCUGGAUGAUUGGUCAGAAAGAGCACACAGAAUGGACCGAGUUAGCCUGGACAAACGCCACUGAUUUAGCCACAGAAUUCACACGUGCUCAUCUUUCUGUUCCUGCUGAAGAGUGGACUAGAGAUGAUGAAAUUCAGUGCAUUGUUAAAUAUAAUGGCGAGAACUUCUCCAAAAGUCUUGUCCGAGAGGAUAUGUGAAUGGCACAAGUUUCUGAGAAAUAAAUGGGAAAAUGUUGCAUGUUAGGCCUAUUCUUCUUUUCAAUUCUGAAGUAGCAUUCCCCAUUCUUAUUAGUUUAAACUCUGAUCAUGUGGAAAUAUUUCAGGAUCUAAUUAAAAAUGAAUCUGGCUUCUGUAUGGUGCUGUGGAGCAGUAUUCUUGAUUGUGGCCAUUUCUGUUUGUUUAUACCAAGGUGAGCAAAUUCUAAAUACUUGAAAAAGCCUGACAAUAGGAAUUAGACAUUACACAGAAUAAGCUUUGCAUGUGUACAUGUUUUACUGCAGUGUCCUAUCCUUUUUUUUUUUUUUUUUUU
Molecule: long non-coding RNA, 1849 nt
Organism: Myxocyprinus asiaticus (Chinese sucker)
Lineage: Eukaryota; Metazoa; Chordata; Actinopteri; Cypriniformes; Catostomidae
Exons: 2
Source: RefSeq, a predicted model, not a curated record